ACGGCUACCACUUCUAAGGAAGGCAGCAGGCGCGUAAAUUACCCAAUCCCAAUUCGGGGAGGUAGUGACAAGAAAUAAUAACUCGGGUAGUUCUACUAUUACGGGAUUAAAAUGAGAACAAUUUAAAAAUCUUAGCGAGGAUCAAAAUGAGGGCAAGUCUGGUGCCAGCAGCCGCGGUAAUUCCAGCUCAUUUAGUGUAUGUUAAAGUUGUUGCAGUUAAAAAGCUCGUAGUCGAUCAUCUAGUGCUGGCUGCUUCGGCUUCGGCUGCGGUACGCGAGUGCUAUCUGCUCGAGAACUUUAUCGGUCUUAACUGGUCGAUGAUGCUGAUCGGGCACUUUCCUGAGAAAAAAUUAGAGUGUUCAAAGCAGGCUAAUGCCUUGAAUAUUACAGCUUGGAAUAAUAGAAUAAGACUGAAGUCUCUUUUGUUGGUUAUGAACUUUAGUAAUGGUUAAUAGGAACAGUCGGGGGUAUUAGUAUUUAAUUGUCAGAGGUGAAAUUCUAUGAUUUAUUAAAGACUAACUUAUGCGAAAGCAUUUGCCAAGGAUGUUUUCAAUUGAUCAAGAACGAAAGUUAGGGGAUCAAAGACGAUCAGAUACCGUCCUAGUCUUAACUAUAAACGAUUCCGACUAUGGAUCAGAAGGGUUUUCCAAUCCCUUUUGGCACAUUAUGAGAAAUCAAAGUCUUUGGGUUCUGGGGGAAGUAUGGACACAAGUCUGAAACUUAAAGGAAUUGACGGAAGGGCACACCAGGUGUGGAGCCUGCGGCUUAAUUUGACCCAACACGGGGAAACUUACUAGGGCAAGACUAAGGUUGGAUUGACAGAUUGAGAGCUCUUUCUUGAUUCUUAGGGUGGUGGUGCAUGGCCGUUCUUAGUUGGUGGAGUGAUUUGUCUGGUUAAUUCCGUUAACGAACGAGACCUCAACCUGCUAAACUAGGAGCCGGAUUAAACAUUCGGUUUCCUUCUUAGAGGGACAAAGUGUUCAAGCACUGGGAAGUGAGGCAAUAACAGGUCUGUGAUGCCCCUAGACGUCCUAGGCCGCACGCGCGCUACAAUGACACGUUCAACGAGUUUCUUCCUGGUCCUGACGGAUUCGGGUAAUCUUCAUAGUACGUGUCGUGCUUUGGGAUAGUCCUUUGCAAUUAUAGGACUUAAACUAGGAAUACCUAGUAUAGGUAAGUCAUCAGCUUGCCUAGAUUAUGUCCCUGCCCUUUGUACACACCGCCCGUCGCUCCUACCGAUUUUGAGUGAUUAGGUGAACCUUCUGGAUCAGAGUAGUCUUCAAGGCUGUUCUGAGAAGUUAAGUAAAUCAUUAUCACUUAGAGGAAGGAGAAGUCGUAACAAGGUU
This 1346-nucleotide ribosomal RNA is filed under the name metagenome. Its description in RNAcentral is "SSU rRNA". It matches the Rfam family "Eukaryotic small subunit ribosomal RNA", at positions 403 to 1801 of the family's 1831-position model. The record is from RNAcentral.